CCUACGGGGCGCUGCAGUGGGGAAUAUUGGACAAUGGGCGAAAGCCUGAUCCAGCCAUGCCGCGUGUGUGAAGAAGGCCUUCGGGUUGUAAAGCACUUUCAGUGGGGAAGAAAGCCUUGGGGCUAAUACCCUCGAGGAAGGACAUCACCCACAGAAGAAGCACCGGCUAACUCCGUGCCAGGAGCCGCGGUAAUACGGAGGGUGCGAGCGUUAAUCGGAAUUACUGGGCGUAAAGCGCGCGUAGGCGGUCUGAUAAGCCGGUUGUGAAAGCCCCGGGCUCAACCUGGGAACGGCAUCCGGAACUGUCAGGCUAGAGUGCAGGAGAGGAAGGUAGAAUUCCCGGUGUAGCGGUGAAAUGCGUAGAGAUCGGGAGGAAUACCAGUGGCGAAGGCGGCCUUCUGGACUGACACUGACGCUGAGGUGCGAAAGCGUGGGUAGCAAACAGGAUUAGAUACCCCAGUAGUC
This 465-nucleotide ribosomal RNA is filed under the name Vreelandella stevensii. RNAcentral describes it as "partial 16S ribosomal RNA". It matches the Rfam family "Bacterial small subunit ribosomal RNA", at positions 338 to 795 of the family's 1533-position model. Lineage: Bacteria; Pseudomonadati; Pseudomonadota; Gammaproteobacteria; Oceanospirillales; Halomonadaceae. The record is from RNAcentral.